AACGAACGCUGGCGGCGUGCCUAAUACAUGCAAGUCGAGCGAGAAAGUGGCUUCGGUCAUGAGUAAAGCGGCAGACGGGUGAGUAAUACAUAGGUAACCUUCCCUCAAGAUGAGGACAACCUUCCGAAAGGAGGGCUAAUACUGAAUGAGACCACAGUGACACAAGUCACAGGGGUUAAAGACGGCCUCUAUUUAUAAGCUUUCGCUUGAGGAUGGGCUUAUGCACCAUUAGCUAGUUGGUAGGGUAAUGGCCUACCAAGGCUUCGAUGGUUAGCUGAUCUGAGAGGUUGAUCAGCCACACUGGAACUGAGACACGGUCCAGACUCCUACGGGAGGCAGCAGUAGGGAAUAUUGCGCAAUGGAGGAAACUCUGACGCAGCGACGCCGCGUGGGUGACGAAGGUCUUCGGAUCGUAAAGCCCUGUCGGAGGGGACGAAAGACACCAAGAUAAUACCUUGGUGGGAUGACGGUACCCUUAAAGGAAGCACCGGCUAACUACGUGCCAGCA
RNAcentral lists this ribosomal RNA (508 nucleotides) under uncultured bacterium. Its description in RNAcentral is "bacterial SSU rRNA". It matches the Rfam family "Bacterial small subunit ribosomal RNA", at positions 29 to 513 of the family's 1533-position model. The record is from RNAcentral.